RNAcentral lists this unclassified non-coding RNA (1887 nucleotides) under Rhabditida environmental sample. RNAcentral describes it as "sequence contains 18S rRNA gene, ITS1, 5.8S rRNA gene, ITS2, 28S rRNA gene". The stretch from base 757 to 1887 matches the Rfam family "Eukaryotic large subunit ribosomal RNA", at positions 1 to 961 of the family's 3401-position model. The record is from RNAcentral. Lineage: Eukaryota; Metazoa; Nematoda; Chromadorea; Rhabditida.
GGCUGGAUCAUUAUCGAGCAAUGAACAAAAAACUCUAGUUGCCUUCGGGCUCCUAGUAGUACAACUGGGGUAGGAUCUAUGUGCGGGGCGUUUGAAUGUGACGCCCGACUGCACGCCCCACCGAUUAACGGCUAACGGUUGGUGUCUAGUGGGUUGCUGAGCGGUUGUUGCCUGUGCCGUGACCGCGUUGAGGCUCCCAAAUACGCAUACGUCCUGCUAGUUCAGGGUAGCGGAUGCGCAGACUCAAAGAGCUACAGCCUGGUAGCUGCCAACCAAACCAAAUUCCAAUGAAUUCUCCGUAAAACGGGAAUGAAUAUCAGUCUUACCGGUGGAUCACUCGGCUCGUGGAUCGAUGAAGAACGGAGCUAACUCCGAUAUGUAGCGUGAAUUGCAGACGCUUUGAACGCCAAGUGUUUGAACGUAAAUUGCGCCGUAGGAGUCCUACCUUACGGCACAUCUGGUUGAGGGUCGUGACCGAACACAGCAGGAAUUUAGCUGUAAUAGAACUAGCUAGCCGGAUCACUGGCUCGGCCUACCGCCUCUGGCCGAGAGUGGUCUGCUAUCAUGCUCUAGAGGACUGCAGUCCCCCUAGCCGGGGACAGCAGCCUGCCACACGGAUGGCCUAUUAGCUGAGGCAAUAGGUCCCGGUCUUGGGUAUCAUACUACCUUUUCGGUUGAAUAUACUCCGAGGCGUCUGGGAUACAGCUAGUAGCGAGUCAUACGUGCCUGGCCAACGAAAGCUUCCUAUCGCUUUCCCGACCUCAACUCAGGUGUGAUUACCCGCUGAACUUAAGCAUAUCAGUAAGCGGAGGAAAAGAAACUAACGAGGAUUCCCUUAGUAACGGCGAGUGAACGGGGAAAAGCCCAGCGCUAAAUCUUGCUGCUCUAACGGGUAGCGAGAGGUGUAGCGUAUAGUAGGCGAUCUUCCUCGAUGGCUGUCGACUUAAAUUCUCCUUGACUGGGGUUCCAGAGAAGGUGAAAGGCCUGUUCAGUCGAUGGCCGUCUUGGAUUCCGCUCUACUUGGAGUCGGGUUGUUUGGGAACGCAGCCCAAAGUUGGUGGUAAACUUCAUCUAAGGCUAAAUACGGCCACGAGACCGAUAGCAAACAAGUACCGUGAGGGAAAGUUGAAAAGUACUUUGAAGAGAGAGUUCAAGAGGACGUGAAACCGGUAGGAUGGAAACGGAUAGAGCCAACGAACAAGCCCGUAUUCAGCUAGUCGUCUGCGUGCGGCAUGCCUAGGCACUCGCAAGGGUGUUUGGGUGUGUGCGGCAUGCGGUUGGCUAGUGCAUUUGCGGGUGAUGUGCGCUGAGGCGUGUGGUGGUGUCCGGCAAACCGUCUGGAGAGGACUUGCCUUCACGGGCUUGAACCCUACAGGCGGGGAGUAGGAUCGCUGCUGCACGUAGAUGAAGCGGCUAGGUGUAAUCGCGCUGCCGUGCUGCUGGGCUAGCUACUUGGUCGGUCGCAUGCGACUAGGCCAUGUCGGUUGGUCUUAGUGGUGCGGUAGUGCCCUAGUCGUGCCUCGGUGUAAAAGUUGGUCAUCUCUCCGACCCGUCUUGAAACACGGACCAAGGAGUCUAGCGUAUACGCGAGUCAUUGGGUGGAAAACCCAUAGGCGAAAUGAAAGUGAAGGUCUCCUCGUGAGACUGAUAUGCGAUCCGUUGCACUACGGUGUACGCGGAGCAGCAUAGCCCCGUCUCGACUGCUUGCAGUGGGGCGGAGGUAGAGCGUAUUCGCUGGUACCCGAAAGAUGGUGAACUAUGCCUGAGCAGGAUGAAGCCAGAGGAAACUCUGGUGGAGGUCCGAAGCGCUUCUGACGUGCAAAUCGAUCGUCUGACUUGGGUAUAGGGGCGAAAGACUAAUCGAACCAUCUAGUAGCUGGUUCCCUC